AUUGAACGCUGUCGGCAGGCCUAACACAUGCAAGUCGAACGAGUGGGGACGGGUGAGUAACACGUGGGUAACCUCCCAUCAGAGGGGAUAACACUUGGAAACAGGUGCUAAACCGAUACUGAUGGAUGGACCCGCGGGGCAUUAGCUAGUUGGGGAGGUAACGGCUCACCAAGGCCACGAUGCAUAGCCGACCUGAGAGGAGGAUCGGCCACACUGGAACUGAGAAACGGCCCAGACUCCUACGGGAGGCAGCAGUAGGGAAGCUUCGGCAAUGGACGAAAGUCUGACCGAGCAACGCCGCGUGAGUGAAGAAGGUUUUCGGAUCGUAAAACUCUGUUGUUAGGGAAGCGGUAUCUAAACAGAAAGCCACGGCUAACUACGUGCCAGCAGCCGCGGUAAUUC
This 402-nucleotide ribosomal RNA is filed under the name uncultured bacterium. Its description in RNAcentral is "partial 16S ribosomal RNA". It matches the Rfam family "Bacterial small subunit ribosomal RNA", at positions 30 to 526 of the family's 1533-position model. The record is from RNAcentral.